CCUGCCUGCGAGGCGAGGCAGUUUGCCAAAUCCUAGAGCAUUUCAGUGUGGAAGUAACAGCACGAAAGGCCUGAAGCAGAAUCUAAAUGAGGAGUGUGCUGCUUCCAGAGCUCGGAAUGCCAGAAAGGACAGGAGAACUUUGCGAGGAUUGUAUCCAGUCUCAUCUUAGGGAGAAUUCAAACCAGGCAAGGGUUAUAGAAGAAAACUACCUUGAUAGUCAAAGAGUCAGAAGGUAAAUGACAAAAGGAACAAGAAGAGGAACAGAAAUG
Molecule: long non-coding RNA, 269 nt
Organism: Heterocephalus glaber (naked mole-rat)
Lineage: Eukaryota; Metazoa; Chordata; Mammalia; Rodentia; Bathyergidae
Source: Ensembl